GAAAGCGGCAAACGGGUGCGUAACACGUAAGCAAUCUGCCCUAAAGUUUGGAAUAGCCCAGGGAAACUUGGAUUAAUACCAAAUGUGGUCCUUCUUCGCAUGUUGAAGGUACUAAAGCUUGUAAUGGCGCUUUAGGAGGAGCUUGCGGCCUAUCAGCUUGUUGGUGAGGUAACGGCUCACCAAGGCUAAGACGGGUAGCUGUUCUGAGAGGAUGAUCAGCCACACUGGAACUGAGAUACGGUCCAGACACCUACGGGUGGCAGCAGUCUCGAAUCAUCCACAAUGGGCGAAAGCCUGAUGGUGCAACGCCGCGUGGGGGAUGAAGGCCUUCGGGUCGUAAACCCCUGUCAUCAAGGAACAAAAAACUGUGAAGAGCAGUCUUGAGCUAACUUGAAGAGGAAGAGGUGGCUAACUCCGUGCCACCAGCCGCGGUAAUACUGAUACCUCGAGCGUUACUCGGAUUCACUGGGCGUAAAGGGUGCGCACGCGGUCGUGUGUGUCAUGUGUGAAAUCCCGGGGCUUUAACUCCAGAACUGCGCCUGAAACUACACAACUAGAGAUUUGGAGAGGUAGCGGAAUUCUAAGUGUAGCGUAAAAUGCGUAGAUAUCUAAUAGGAACAUCAUGUCUAAGGCAGC
This 636-nucleotide ribosomal RNA is filed under the name uncultured bacterium. RNAcentral's name for it is "bacterial SSU rRNA". It matches the Rfam family "Bacterial small subunit ribosomal RNA", at positions 91 to 725 of the family's 1533-position model. The record is from RNAcentral.